AGUAGCAAUACUUUUGAUGACGACCGGCGCACGGGUGAGUAACGCGUAUGCAACCUACCUACUACAGGGGAAUAGCCCGAAGAAAUUCGGAUUAAUGCCGCAUAAUACAGGGGCACCGCAUGGUGAUAUUUGUUAAAGAUUAAUUGGUAGUAGAUGGGCAUGCGUUCCAUUAGCCAGUUGGUGAGGUAACGGCUCACCAAAGCAACGAUGGAUAGGGGAACUGAGAGGUUUAUCCCCCACACUGGUACUGAGACACGGACCAGACUCCUACGGGAGGCAGCAGUGAGGAAUAUUGGUCAAUGGGCGAGAGCCUGAACCAGCCAAGUCGCGUGAAGGAUGACUGCCCUAUGGGUUGUAAACUUCUUUUGUACUGGGGUAAAAAAGAGGACGUGUCCUUUCUUGCAAGUACAGUACGAAUAAGCAUCGGCUAACUCCGUGCCAGCAGCCGCGGUAAUACGGAGGAUGCGAGCGUUAUCCGGAUUUAUUGGGUUUAAAGGGUGCGUAGGCGGGGAUUUAAGUCAGCGGUGAAAGCUUGAGGCUCAACCUUAAAAUUGCCGUUGAAACUGGGUUUCUUGAGUGUAUUUGAAGUAGGCGGAAUUCGUUGUGUAGCGGUGAAAUGCAUAGAUAUAACGAAGAACUCCAAUUGCGCAGGCAGCUUACUAAACUACAACUGACGCUGAAGCACGAAAGCG
This 692-nucleotide ribosomal RNA is filed under the name uncultured Bacteroidales bacterium. Its description in RNAcentral is "bacterial SSU rRNA". It matches the Rfam family "Bacterial small subunit ribosomal RNA", at positions 75 to 761 of the family's 1533-position model. The record is from RNAcentral. Lineage: Bacteria; Pseudomonadati; Bacteroidota; Bacteroidia; Bacteroidales.